GGGAGUAGAUGGCAUCUUUUCAGAUACAGGGGCUGAGACAUAAUAAAAGGAGGAAGAUGAAACGUUAGGAAAGCACCAUCUUGUUUGGAGAAUCACAUAUAUGAGAGAAAGUAGGCAAUGGAAUUGUCCAUUCCUAGCAAGUCAAGGCUCUCCUCUGAGCCCAAGUCUCCUUUGGGAAAUAACUGGAUGGGCCCAAUAACAGAACCCUGACCAGCUAAAGGCAAUCAACAACCUGUGCAAGCUUUCCUUUUAAAACAAAACACCAGCAAGUAUGAAGACAUGACACCAUCGGAAUGGAUCCAGACAUGUCCAUGCUUCCCUCUUGGAACACUCACCUUGUGAGUGUAGUUGCAUACUUUUUAAACCUCUCUAAAAUUAGAGUCCUUUUUUCACACACCAACACUAACUCCACAGGAUCUUCUCAAAAUGUCUCCCCAUGCUCAGGUGAUAUUUAAAAGAAAUCUAUUGACCAAAA
Molecule: long non-coding RNA, 475 nt
Organism: Ochotona curzoniae (black-lipped pika)
Lineage: Eukaryota; Metazoa; Chordata; Mammalia; Lagomorpha; Ochotonidae
Exons: 4
Source: RefSeq, a predicted model, not a curated record